AUUGAACGCUGGCGGCAUGCCUUACACAUGCAAGUCGAACGGCAGCACGGGAGCAAUCCUGGUGGCGAGUGGCGAACGGGUGAGUAAUAUAUCGGAACGUGCCCAGUCGUGGGGGAGAACGUAGCGAAAGCUACGCUAAUACCGCAUACGAUCUACGGAUGAAAGCGGGGGAUCGCAAGACCUCGCGCGAUAGGAGCGGCCGAGAUCAGAUUAGGUAGUUGGUGAGGUAAAGGCUCACCAAGCCGACGAUCUGUAGCUGGUCUGAGAGGACGACCAGCCACACUGGGACUGAGACACGGCCCAGACUCCUACGGGAGGCAGCAGUGGGGAAUUUUGGACAAUGGGCGCAAGCCUGAUCCAGCAAUGCCGCGUGCAGGAUGAAGGCCUUCGGGUUGUAAACUGCUUUUGUACGGAACGAAACGGCGAGCUCUAAUACAGUUUGCUAAUGACGGUACCGUAAGAAUAAGCACCGGCUAACUACGUGCCAGCAGCCGCGGUAA
Molecule: ribosomal RNA, 500 nt
Filed under: uncultured bacterium
Lineage: Bacteria
Description: partial 16S ribosomal RNA
Rfam family: Bacterial small subunit ribosomal RNA
Source: RNAcentral